GAUGAACGCUGGCGGCGUGCUUAACACAUGCAAGUCAAGGGGGCCCAGCAAUGGGUAACCGGCGAACGGGUGCGUAACACGUGAGCAACCUACCGAAUUGUGGGGGAUAGCCGGCCCAACGGCCGGGUAAUACCGCAUACGAUCGAGACCAGGCAUUUGGACUCGAUGAAAUCUACGGAGCAAUUCGAGGGGCUCGCGGCCUAUCAGCUAGUUGGUGAGGUAACGGCUCACCAAGGCGACGACGGGUAGCUGGUCUGAGAGGAUGGCCAGCCACAUUGGGACUGAGAUACGGCCCAGACUCCUACGGGAGGCAGCAGUGGGGAAUCUUGCGCAAUGGCCUAACGGCUGACGCAGCGACGCCGCGUGAGGGAUGACGCUCUUCGGAGUGUAAACCUCUG
Molecule: ribosomal RNA, 398 nt
Filed under: uncultured bacterium
Lineage: Bacteria
Description: bacterial SSU rRNA
Rfam family: Bacterial small subunit ribosomal RNA
Source: RNAcentral